This 396-nucleotide unclassified non-coding RNA is filed under the name Hevea brasiliensis (rubber tree). The record is from RNAcentral. Lineage: Eukaryota; Viridiplantae; Streptophyta; Magnoliopsida; Malpighiales; Euphorbiaceae.
UAUAAAGGUUCCUACGAGUAUAGAGGAACGGAAUUUGAUAGAGCGGUCAGUUACACGUCUGUUGGACAUGGUGCGUUUUAGGUUGGAGGACAUCUCCAGUGGCAGUGAAAACCGGUUCUCGGCAUCGAUCCUUCAAAAUGUUGUGCAGCUUGUUCAAUCGGAUUGCCCGCAUCUCCGGGGGUGCUUCAUUGUCAUGAACAAUAAUGUUUGGUGCCGAUUAGAAUGUGUGGGGGAUGGCCUUGGGCCACGUGUAAUACUACAGGAGAAUACUUCGGGUCCUUUGCUUGAGGGUUUGCUUGCGCAGAACUUACCUCUUUGGGAUAUGCAUAAGGGGAAAUUAGUAGAGGCGGACAAGGGAGAUAUCUUCACCGGGAGUUUCUUGGCUAUCCUGAGGGU